CAAGCCGCGGUAAUUCCAGCUCCAAUAGCGUAUAUUAAAGUUGUUGCAGUUAAAAAGCUCGUAGUUGAAUUUCGGGAUUGACGUGAUGGUCAUGCCUUAAGGGGUAUGAACUGUUACUGUUGAUUUCUCACCUUCUGGAGAAACUUGAUGUCCUUUAUUGGGUGUCUUGCGGAUCCAGGACCUUUACCUUGAAAAAAUUAGAGUGUUUAAAGCAGGCAUUUUUGCUCGAAUACAUUAGCAUGGAAUAAUAGAAUAGGACGGCAUGGUUCUAUUUUGUUGGUUUCUAGGAUCACCGUAAUGAUUAAUAGGGAUAGUUGGGGGCAUUAGUAUUCAAUUGUCAGAGGUGAAAUUCUUGGAUUUAUUGAAGACUAACUACUGCGAAAGCAUUUGCCAAGGAUGUUUUCAUUAAUCAAGAACGAAAGUUAGGGGAUCGAAGACGAUCAGAUACCGUCGUAGUCUUAACCAUAAACUAUGCCGACUAGGAAUCAGACGAUGUUAAUUUUUUAAUGACUCGUUUGGCACCUUACG
This 528-nucleotide unclassified non-coding RNA is filed under the name uncultured Glomeromycotina. RNAcentral's name for it is "SSU rRNA". It matches the Rfam family "Eukaryotic small subunit ribosomal RNA", at positions 571 to 1092 of the family's 1831-position model. Lineage: Eukaryota; Fungi; Glomeromycota. The record is from RNAcentral.